RNAcentral lists this long non-coding RNA (236 nucleotides) under Gossypium barbadense (sea-island cotton). Its description in RNAcentral is "long non-coding RNA (GBAR_LNC016229)". Lineage: Eukaryota; Viridiplantae; Streptophyta; Magnoliopsida; Malvales; Malvaceae. The record is from RNAcentral.
ACGGGCACAGACACGGGCUGGGACACAGCCGUGUGUCCCUAUUUCGAAUUCCCACGCGGCCUAAGACAUAGGCGUCUCUCUUGACCGUGUGAGUCACACAGUUUGGCCACACAGGCAUGUGAUCCUUGCAGCUUUGAAAUUUUUUAAUGUUUUCUAAAAAAUUCAUUGAGUACCCGAUUUAAUCCGGACUUGUUUUUAAUGAGUAUUUUGGACCUUGAAGGCUCGUAUAAGGGAAA